UGGGGAAUAUUGCACAAUGGGCGCAAGCCUGAUGCAGCCAUGCUGCGUGUGUGAAGAAGGCCUUCGGGUUGUAAAGCACUUUCAGCGAGGAGGAAGGCGUUAAGGUUAAUAACCUUGGCGAUUGACGUUACUCGCAGAAGAAGCACCGGCUAACUCCGUGCCAGCAGCCGCGGUAAUACGGAGGGUGCAAGCGUUAAUCGGAAUUACUGGGCGUAAAGCGCACGCAGGCGGUUUGUUAAGUCAGAUGUGAAAUCCCCGAGCUUAACUUGGGAACUGCAUUUGAAACUGGCAAGCUAGAGUCUUGUA
RNAcentral lists this ribosomal RNA (306 nucleotides) under uncultured bacterium. Its description in RNAcentral is "partial 16S ribosomal RNA". It matches the Rfam family "Bacterial small subunit ribosomal RNA", at positions 355 to 653 of the family's 1533-position model. The record is from RNAcentral.